GAGGAUUUUAGGCUUCUGUGCAACCUGCUGUGUCUGUGCUCUGCGCAUUUUGAAGUGGAGAGGGGAGUGUGGACUUCAUGGAGUGGAAAGGUAAAGGUCUCACCAUGGAUGGAAACAAGAAGUAAAAGGAGUAAAGGGCUUUGAAUCCAUUUGUAAUGCUGCACCCAGGACAGGUAAUAUCACCUGCAAAACUCCCAUG
RNAcentral lists this long non-coding RNA (199 nucleotides) under Junco hyemalis (dark-eyed junco). RNAcentral's name for it is "lncRNA (ENSJHYG00000003456.1)". Lineage: Eukaryota; Metazoa; Chordata; Aves; Passeriformes; Passerellidae. The record is from RNAcentral.